UUUGAAGUAACAAGUCAGAAAACAAAGGCCAAGUCCUGAAGAGAAAAACGCAAAUGAGUGCAGAAAGCGAAGAAUAUCUAACUAACAAUCUCUAGAUAACUGUAAUGGAAGGAAACAAAACAACUUCACUAUCAUUGCUCAGCUGUUAUGACUAAGGGAUGCGAUGAGCUAGAUGAAUUGGCUGGGCUGGAUAAGUUGACUUGGGCAGAAUUCUGUUAUUUUGUAGGGGUUAGUAUAAAUAGGGGAAGAAUAGUUGUAAUUGGGCAUUCCUAGAAUCACUAACAAAUGCAGAAUUCUUCUUUCUCUCUUCUUCUCUAAUUCUAAUCUCAUCCCUUUCUAUUUCUCUUCUCACCCAAUCUAAUUCUCUUCUCACCUAGUCCCUUUCUAUCUCUUUCUCUCCCUAUUC
RNAcentral lists this unclassified non-coding RNA (406 nucleotides) under Hevea brasiliensis (rubber tree). Lineage: Eukaryota; Viridiplantae; Streptophyta; Magnoliopsida; Malpighiales; Euphorbiaceae. The record is from RNAcentral.